AGCUUUAACACAUGAAGCAUCGGCUUCACUCUGCAGAACCUGAAGUUGUCGCCUGGUGACGACGUCCUCUAACACGUGUAAAUUCAGGACCUCGAGUACAUCUGGAAACCUGCACCGACGUAGUGACAGUUCAGAGGGGAUCAGCCAACGGUCAUUUCAAAGCAGCUCUUGUUACCAAAACAAACUGCACAUGAAGUGUGAUGUCAAUUCUCAUAUGCACUGACUGACAGAAUGAUGUCUUGCAGCCAUCCAUGACUGCUUUGGCAACCAUGCUUUGGAAGUUGCAGAGGCAACGGCGGGCUCCACUCUGGACGGAGGGAACGUAGCGCUGGCCAUCUUCAUCCUCGUCCUCCUGCUGUCCGUGCUGCUCGGGGGGGCGUACGUCUACGUCACACGGUGCCGGUAUCACUCCAACCUACGGCUCCCUCUGAUCUACCCUCAUCCGUACCGACAGAUCACGGUGGAGACGGAGUUUGACAACCCGCUCUAUGAGACCGGAGGGGACACUCGAGAAUAUGAAGUAUCGAUAUGAGAGAGGACGUUACCCCCCCGUCCUAACUCUUCAUCCCUCCUCCCUCCUUCUCCGCCCCCUUUGGAGGAGACGAUGUAAAUACAAAUAGAUGAUGUCCGGUCACUUCUGCCACGAGAC
Long non-coding RNA from Anarrhichthys ocellatus (wolf-eel), 649 nucleotides. RefSeq lists it as uncharacterized. The record is from RefSeq and is a predicted model, not a curated record. The transcript has 4 exons. Lineage: Eukaryota; Metazoa; Chordata; Actinopteri; Perciformes; Anarhichadidae.